This 74-nucleotide transfer RNA is filed under the name Trichomonas vaginalis G3. It matches the Rfam family "tRNA". Rfam says of the family: Transfer RNA (tRNA) molecules are approximately 80 nucleotides in length. Their secondary structure includes four short double-helical elements and three loops (D, anti-codon, and T loops). The record is from Rfam by way of RNAcentral. Lineage: Eukaryota; Parabasalia; Trichomonadida; Trichomonadidae.
GCCUGUGUAGCUCAACCGGAUAGAGCAUAAGACUCUUAAUCUUGGGGUUGCCGGCUCUAGUUCCGCCACUGGCU